Molecule: long non-coding RNA, 1114 nt
Organism: Daucus carota subsp. sativus
Lineage: Eukaryota; Viridiplantae; Streptophyta; Magnoliopsida; Apiales; Apiaceae
Exons: 3
Source: RefSeq, a predicted model, not a curated record
UAUAUUCGAAAUGAUAUGUCUUGUCUUUAAAAUAUUUCUUUCCUUCUCUUUUAUUUUUCGAGUACUUUGAUUCACAUGUGUAUUGUUGAUGUGAUUUAUCUCUCUUGUAAUACUACCCAUUUACAGUUUGUAAAACUAGUUAUUACUAUUCUAUACUUUUACUACAAUCGGACCAUGGAAAAAAACUUUUCCCGGCCACCUGCUGCAACUUCAGUUAUGUUCUAUCCCGAGGAAAAUAAUAUCGUUAUCGUUGGCAGGGAGGAUGGCUCUACACUAAUCUAUGGUGUUCAGAAAGAUAUGGUCUUUAUCUAUAUAUAUUGAAAUCUAAGUGUUGUCCAUUAAAAAAGAAUUAUCAUUUAGCUAUAAUGUUCUUAUUAUCUAUUUGGCUUAUAUAGAUGAUUGCCAAGAUAAUGCUCUUAUUAUCUAUUUGGCUUAUAUAGAUGAUUGCCAAGAUAAUGCUCAUCAGAAGAGAGUGACUGGCCUUGCUUAUUCUAGUGCAUUGAAUAUCCUUUUAUCGUCUGGAUAAGAUGCUCAGGCACAUUUUUAAAGUGGAAGGCUAAUAGAAGAUAUCAGAUGCAUCGGCAUAUUUCUGUCAAGUGUCACCAGGACCCAAGACAUUUGUUGGUUGUACAUGAAAGUUGUAUAGCCACUCCUGAGAUACCUAAUCUCGAGCCCUGCAAGCAGUAGAUUCCCCGGGAAUUGAUCAGUGAUGCUGCAUACAUAUUCAUGUGAUGGCCAGUCUAUAUAUGCCUGCUUUCUUAACAGGCACAUUGUUUCCUUGGACUCAGCAUCUUUGACCAUAAAAUUUUUUAUCAAUCCGAGUGCAUAUUUUACCUUCUAAUUAAAGCCGGGUGAUGUCUGCUUCUACUCUUGCGGCUAAUCCUACAAAACACAAUCAGUUUGCUCUCGGGCUUAGUGAUGGUGGCGUACUAGUUAUAGAACUUGAGGAAGAGGAUAUUGGGGUUGGCAUUGUAGCACGCCUUAGCUUGAGACCAGCAACACCUGAGAACUUAAUAUGAGCUUUUGUGAGAAUCAGAGCCCAGUGUCUCUUGAAAUCUAUAUGUUUUAAAACAUACAUCUAGGGAUUGGAUUAGUGCAAGAGUUCUGAAGUUUU